RNAcentral lists this ribosomal RNA (1340 nucleotides) under uncultured marine eukaryote. Its description in RNAcentral is "SSU rRNA". It matches the Rfam family "Eukaryotic small subunit ribosomal RNA", at positions 424 to 1779 of the family's 1831-position model. The record is from RNAcentral.
AGGAGCAGGCGCGCAAUUACCCAAUCCUGACUCAGGGAGGUAGUGACAAGAAAUAACAAUAAACCGGCUUAUGCCGGUUUAAUUGGAAUGAGUACAAUUUAAACAUCUUAACGAGGAACAAUUGGAGGGCAAGCCUGGUGCCAGCAGCCGCGGUAAUUCCAGCUCCAAUAGCGUAUACUAAAGUUGUUGCAGUUAAAAAGCUCGUAGUUGGAUUUCUGUGGGGACGGAGCGGCCGGCCGCACAUCGCGGUUCGAGCUAGCGCUUUCCCUACAUCCUGCCGCGAACCGUGCUACCAUUAGUUUGGUGGCGCUGGGGAUCGGCUCGAUUACUUUGAGAAAAAUAGAGUGUUCAAAGCAGGCCACAUGCCUUGAAUAAGUUAGCAUGGAAUAAUAACUAAGGACUUCGGUUCUAUUUUGUUGGUGUUCGGGACUGAAGUAAUGAUUGAUAGGGACAGUUGGGGCGGUCUGUAUUCCAAAGCGAGAGGUGAAAUUCUUAGACCUUCGGAAGACAAACAGCUGCGAAAGCGUUCCGCAAGGAUGUUCCCUUUGAUCAAGAACGAAAGUUGGGGGAUCGAAGACGAUCAGAUACCGUCGUAGUCUCAACUAUAAACUAUACCAGCUAGGGAUCGGCCAACGUUAUUUUAUACCGACUUGGUCGGCACCUUAUGAGAAAUCAAAGCAUCUGGGUUCCGGGGGGAGUAUGGUCGCAAGGCUGAAACUUAAAGGAAUUGACGGAAGGGCACCACCAGCCGUGGAGCCUGCGGCUUAAUUUGACUCAACACGGGAAAACUUACCAGGUCCAGACAUAGUAAGGAUUGACAGAUUGAUAGCUCUUUCUUGAUUCUGUGGGUGGUGGUGCAUGGCCGUUCUUAGUUGGUGGAGUGAUUUGUCUGGUUAAUUCCGUUAACGAACGAGACCCCAGCCUGCUAAAUAGCGCGCGUGAGCUUUGCUCGCGGCGAGCUUCUUAGAGGGACUAUGAUGCGCGAUAGCACAUGGAAGUUUGGGGCAAUAACAGGUCUGUGAUGCCCUUAGAUGUUCUGGGCCGCACACGGGCUACACUGGCGCCUGCAACGAGCAUAUCAGCUGGCCCGAGAGGGUCUUGGCUAAUCUUUUGAACCGGCGCCGUGCUUGGGAUUGACCUUUGCAAUUGUUGGUCAUGCAACGAGGAAUGCCUUGUAAACGCGAGUCAUCAGCUCGCAUUGAAUACGUCCCUGCCCUUUGUACACACCGCCCGUCGCUCCUACCGAUGAAUGUUCCGAUGAAAUUUUCGGAGAGUGCCUGUGAACUUGGCUCUGCCUUGCGAACGGGAAGCUCAAAGUCACUUAAAUCUAAACUUUGAGG